This 497-nucleotide ribosomal RNA is filed under the name uncultured bacterium. Its description in RNAcentral is "partial 16S ribosomal RNA". It matches the Rfam family "Bacterial small subunit ribosomal RNA", at positions 28 to 507 of the family's 1533-position model. The record is from RNAcentral.
GAUGAACGCUGGCGGCGUGCCUAAUACAUGCAAGUCGAGCGAACAGACGAGGAGCUUGCUCCUCUGACGUUAGCGGCGGACGGGUGAGUAACACGUGGAUCACCUACCUAUAAGACUGGGAUAACUUCGGGAAACCGGAGCUACUACCGGAUAAUAUAUUGAACCGCAUGGUUCAAUAGUUAAAGACGCUUUUGCUUUUACUUAUAGAUGGAUCCGCGCCGUAUUAGCUAGUUGGUAAGGUAACGGCUUACCAAGGCAACGAUGCGUAGCCGACCUGAGAGGGUGAUCGGCCACACUGGAACUGAGACACGGUCCAGACUCCUACGGGAGGCAGCAGUAGGGAAUCUUCCGCAAUGGGCGAAAGCUUGACGGAGCAACGCCGCGUGAGUGAUGAAGGUCUUCGGAUCGUAAAACUCUGUUAUUAGGGAAGAACAAAUGUGUAAGUAACUAUGCACGUCUUGACGGUACCUAAUCAGAAAGCCACGGCUAACUACGUG